Molecule: long non-coding RNA, 2628 nt
Organism: Paramormyrops kingsleyae
Lineage: Eukaryota; Metazoa; Chordata; Actinopteri; Osteoglossiformes; Mormyridae
Source: RefSeq, a predicted model, not a curated record
AGUUAUCUUAGGUCGACGUUCACGGUUUGACUUCUGAGAUUCAGACGGAGUUCAAGAUCCAGGUUAACCUCAGCGGAGAGCUGUUCUACGCUGGGGAAGCUCCUCCUGCAGGCAGACAGAAACAAAGACGAGGUUCUUCAGCUGAGACUCCCGCAGGCGGACCAGCUCCUCUAGGUAUCCCUGCCAAGGAACAUAAGUUGGUCUAACAUCACAGCACUGUCUUCCGGAGACUUCCUCCAUUGGCGUUGGCCUUCAUUUGGGGAAUACACUUUUCCAGGCUUGUGACAAUGCUACACCUUUCACCGAGAAAAAUUUGAUCUUCCUGCUACUGAAGCAGGUGUGCAAAGAUUCCUUGGUGCUGAGCAGUCAGUGCUGCUUCUUAAAGAUUUCCACCAUUACUAUUAAACAUCGAUAAAUAAAAUGCAAUUAUUAAAUGCAGCCAACCUGCCGGAUUCAGAGUUUCAGAUUCAGGCUCUGGUCAUGGCUUAAUGCCUUUAAAAUCUUAAUGUAGGGCACCUCAUGAAUAUGACCUAAUUCAACAAAGAUCUACUGUUCUGCACAGUACUACUGAAUUCUGACUGCUUGUUUGGGUCCAGCACUGAUAUGUUUCUUGCUAGAGUUUAGCAACUGUGCCUUUGUAGGAAUCUUCAUCGCCAUUUUUAACUACAGUUUUGCGUAUAUUGUAGCCUGGGCCUUUCUGAGCUCAGACACACACUUAUCCAACAGUUUUGCUCUGUGACCAACAGCACUUUGAGUUUUGUGGCCUCCAACAUCAGGUAAUGUCACUAUCCAGAAAAAACACCAUGUGCCCGUGUAUACCAUAAAACCUUCAGAAAGUGUGUGAUUUCCCAGGUAAUCAUGAAAUAGAAGCCAAACCUUUCAUUUUAUCUAGGUAACAUUUGGCAACCUUUGCCCAGAUCUGUUGAAUGGGUCAAAUUUGUAAGGUACACUCUGGCAAUCCCUCAUUCCCCAGCUGCAGAAACCAAGGGGAUGGAAUAAAGUCCCUGACUCCCAAACAAACCGGCAUGUAGGUGAGUCCCCAAAAAGCUGUUUCAGUGCAGAAAGCACACUUCCCAGUCAGCUGCUAAAGAAGCUGCACUGAGACAAUUAUGGGUCAUAUAACACAAGCCCUCCAACACUAAGCUCUUUAAGUUGUUUUGCUUUUCAGCAUCUCCUUAUAACAUGGGCCACAGUUUGUGUUGGGUCCAUCAGCUGUGUGGGCCCAAAUUCCCAUACACACGCUACAAUAUCUCAGAGACCUACUCAGAAGUAGGACGGUUCAUGGAAAAUAAGGUCAGGGACAUUAUUUUAUUCGGUUCCCAUUUCAGAAUUAUAUGCGGUCUGAGAGGGCAUGCAGGGAUUUACCAAGCAGCGGCACAUUUUUGCUCAGAUUUGAUCUUCAUAACUAAUAAGCAUUAAGGGGCGAUCUCAGAAUUUGUAAUGUGUGACACUUUUUCCACUCUCCACCUGCGAAGAGUAAUCAAAUGUCAACUGAGAAAUUUUAAUUACCAUGUCAUAUAACGUGCUGAAUGAUUAUCACUUUAAUUGACUGGCAUAUUUCAGCUGCCAGUGCUUGGCCAGAUGGUAUUAAUUGUCUCAUGGUGCCUGUGGUUUUGGAGGUCGAAAUCUAAAAUAGGCAGAAUAAAAUAAUAAAAAAAUUAGGAUGUGGAUCCUGGCACUGUUGACCGGUGAAACACAGUAUGAAUACAAAGAAAUUAUAAUAUGCUAUAAUCAAUUUAUUGCUGAUAACCCAAAGUAACAUUCAUCAGAUGUAAAUAUUAACCAGCAUGACUAACAGCUACAUUUUUCAUUGCUGAAUAACAAGCUUGAGAGCAAAGAUUCUGCUGUAACAAAACUGAUUUCUGCUUUACAUCAUGCCAUCAUGGCAUUUUUGGUAUUUGUCAUUGGGCAUGGUGCCUGUUUCAUUCCACUCUAUCGCAAAGCAUAGUCAGGGGAAUUUUAGAGAAAGGACUGGAUACAAUAUAAGUGUUUAUAUAGCUCUUCUUCCUCAUAACUGUCUUGCACUUGUUUCUGGUCAAUUGUUAGAAGUGUAGCCUAGCAGCACUUGUACAUAAAUCAGCUCAUGACAGCUGUAUGCUUAUUUUGUAUUAUCUGCUUCACUUGCAUGUCACUUUGGACAAAAGCAACUGCCAAUAAAUAUGCAUGUAAGCAUAGAACUGGCCUGUGGGGAUUUUCUGUUUUUAACAGACAAGUCAUUAUCAUAUUACUGAAGCAAAGACUUAUGCAAAAAGAAAACUGUUCUGUUUAAUUAGAAAUAAACACAAAUAAAUUUCAGUUUCAAAUAGUUUCACAAGCUUCAUAUCGACUGUGUUAAAUUCACACAUUAUCGGGGCACAUAAAGCACUUAUAAGGACAAAGAGAUUGUUAAACAUUACCAAAAAAAUGAAACAAACAUUAACAUCAAAGAUAAACUCCUCCUUCCUGAUGUGUUGUAAUGACCAGAUUGUCACAUAAGCCAUGAUAAGAUUAGAUGCUAAAUAUAAUAUUUAUCAAAAAUAAUCUGUUGAAACAGUACUGUAUGACUGUAGGUAUAUCUUAUUUGUUGUAGAUAGUUACGACACUCUGUAAGCAGUUAUAGUUGGAGGGAAUGGACAGAUAAUACCAUAA